Molecule: ribosomal RNA, 1168 nt
Filed under: Nosema granulosis
Lineage: Eukaryota; Fungi; Microsporidia; Nosematidae
Description: SSU rRNA
Rfam family: Microsporidia small subunit ribosomal RNA
Source: RNAcentral
UAGACGCUAUGCUCUAAAAUUAACCCAUGCAUGUUUAUUGAAUAUAAAGAAAAGACGAACAGCUCAGUAACUCUUAUUUUAUUUGAUGUAUUAGGAUUAUAACUAUGUUAAAUUAUAGAUAACAAUAAUACAAUAAGAAUAAGAUCUAUCAGUUAGUUGUUAAGGUAAUGGCUUAACAAGACUAUGACGGAUAACGGUAUUACUUUGUAAUAUUCCGGAGAAGGAGCCUGAGAGAUUGCUACUAAGUCUAAGGAUUGCAGCAGGGGCGAAACUUGACCUAUGAUAUGAUAUUGAGGCAGUUAUGAGUAGUAUUUUUAAUUAUUGUAAUAUUGUAAGUAUAUACUACAAGAUAAAUCGGAGGGCAAAUCGAGUGCCAGCAGCCGCGGUAAUACUUGUUCCGAUAGUGUGUAUGAUGAUUGAUGCAGUUAAAAAGUCUGUAGUUUAUGAUUAAUAAGCAUUGUGAGGUAUAUUGUAUGGUUAGGAGAGAGAUGAAAUGUGAUAACCCUAACUGGAUGAACAGAAGCGAAAGCUAUAUACUUAAAUGUAUUAUUAGAACAAGGACGUAAGCUAGAGGAUCGAAGAUGAUUAGAUACCAUUGUAGUUCUAGCAGUAAACUAUGUUAAAUCAUAGAUACAUUUUAAUAUGUAUUUAUGUAGAGAAAUUAAGAUUAUAUUGACUCUGGGGAUAGUAUGAUCGCAAGAUUGAAAAUUAAAGAAAUUGACGGAAGAAUACCACAAGGAGUGGAUUGUGCGGCUUAAUUUGACUCAACGCGGGGUAAUUUACCAGGUAUCACAUGAUAUAAUAUUUUAUCAUGAUAGUGGUGCAUGGCCGUUUCCAAUGGAUGCUGUGAAGUAAUGAUUAAUUUCAACAAGAUGUGAGACCCUCUAUUAAGACAGAUGUAGUGAUACAUAUGAAGGAGAGGAUUAAAACAGGUCCGUUAUGCCCUAAGAUAAUCUGGGUUGCACGCGCAAUACAAUAAUAUUUCAUAUUAUAAGGGAUAAUAUAAUGUAAGAUAUAUUUGAACAUGGAAUUGCUAGUAAAUUUUAUUUAAUAAGUAGAAUUGAAUGUGUCCCUGUUCUUUGUACACACCGCCCGUCGCUAUCUAAGAUGGUAUUAUCUAUGAACAAAUUUAUAAAGUGAAUAGAUAGUACUAGAUCUGAUAUAAGUC